UAAGACGAAGGGGGCUAGCGUUGUUCGGAAUUACUGGGCGUAAAGCGUGUGUAGGUGGUUGUCAUAGUCAGGUGUGAAAGCCUUGAGCUCAACUCAAGAAAUGCACUUGAUACUGGGCAGCUAGAGGACCGGAGAGGAUAGUGGAAUUCCCAGUGUAGUGGUGAAAUACGUAGAGAUUGGGAAGAACACCAGUGGCGAAGGCGGCUAUCUGGACGGUUUCUGACACUAAGA
RNAcentral lists this ribosomal RNA (231 nucleotides) under uncultured bacterium. Its description in RNAcentral is "partial 16S ribosomal RNA". It matches the Rfam family "Bacterial small subunit ribosomal RNA", at positions 521 to 751 of the family's 1533-position model. The record is from RNAcentral.